GAAACAGAUGACCCCUUCGGGGUGAUUCUGGCGGAAUGAGCGGCGGACGGGUGAGUAACACGUGGGCAACCUGCCUGUAAGACUGGGAUAACUUCGGGAAACCGGAGCUAAUACCGGAUAGUAUUUCCUUUCUCCUGAUUGGAAAUGGAAAGACGGUUUCGGCUGUCACUUACAGAUGGGCCCGCGGUGCAUUAGCUAGUUGGUGGGGUAAUGGCCCACCAAGGCGACGAUGCAUAGCCGACCUGAGAGGGUGAUCGGCCACACUGGGACUGAGACACGGCCCAGACUCCUACGGGAGGCAGCAGUGGUCAUAGC
Molecule: ribosomal RNA, 315 nt
Filed under: Bacillus sp. SR1.2
Lineage: Bacteria; Bacillati; Bacillota; Bacilli; Caryophanales; Bacillaceae
Description: bacterial SSU rRNA
Rfam family: Bacterial small subunit ribosomal RNA
Source: RNAcentral